Molecule: long non-coding RNA, 384 nt
Filed under: Androctonus crassicauda
Lineage: Eukaryota; Metazoa; Arthropoda; Arachnida; Scorpiones; Buthidae
Source: RNAcentral
AUAAUAAAACAAAUAAUAAUUUCAACCAAAACAUAAAAUUCAGUUAUGAAUGCCACAAAAAACAAAGAAUCCCAUAUUUAGAUAUAACUGUGAUAAGAUCCAACAUAAUGUCAAUUUCCAAAAAGAUGAAAAAGCUUGUAAUAAAAAAUCUUUAAUUUCAAAUCCUUUUACCCAAGACUGCAGAAAUGAGAUGCAAAGAUACACCCUUUUGCCCUUUAUACAUAAAGAAAAAACUUUCAAAUGGAAUAUAAUAAAAUUUUGUGCAAAACAAUAAACUAAUAACAGCAAAAAUUAUAAAUUAAAUAUUUAAAAAUGAAAAUGGUAUUAAAUCAUUACUCAAUAAGAAUUGUUAAUAAAUGAGAAGAUAAUUACCAUAUGUACUGG